UACGUAGGGGGCAAGCGUUGUCCGGAUUCAUUGGGCGUAAAGAGCGUGUAGGCGGCCAGGUAGGUCGGUUGUGAAAACUGGAGGCUCAACCUUCAGACGUCGACCGAAACCAUCUGGCUAGAGUCCGGGAGAGGAGAGUGGAAUUCCUGGUGUAGCGGUGAAAUGCGCAGAUAUCAGGAAGAACACCAACGGCGAAGGCAGCUCGCUGGGACGGUACUGACGCUGAGACGCGAAAGCGUGGGGAGCGAACAGG
This 253-nucleotide ribosomal RNA is filed under the name uncultured bacterium. RNAcentral's name for it is "partial 16S ribosomal RNA". It matches the Rfam family "Bacterial small subunit ribosomal RNA", at positions 524 to 776 of the family's 1533-position model. The record is from RNAcentral.